RNAcentral lists this ribosomal RNA (229 nucleotides) under Clostridioides difficile. RNAcentral describes it as "partial 23S ribosomal RNA". It matches the Rfam family "Bacterial large subunit ribosomal RNA", at positions 1908 to 2136 of the family's 2925-position model. Lineage: Bacteria; Bacillati; Bacillota; Clostridia; Peptostreptococcales; Peptostreptococcaceae. The record is from RNAcentral.
UGAACUUAAGCCCCAGUAAACGGCGGCCGUAACUAUAACGGUCCUAAGGUAGCGAAAUUCCUUGUCGGGGAAGUUCCGACCCGCACGAAAGGCGUAACGAUUUGGGCACUGUCUCAACAACAGACUCGGUGAAAUUGGAAUUCCGGUGAAGAUGCCGGAUACCUGCGACAGGACGGAAAGACCCCAUGGAGCUUUACUGUAGCUUGACAUUGGGUCUUGGUACUACAUG